GAUGAAGAACGUAGCGAAAUGCGAUAAGUAAUGUGAAUUGCAGAAUUCAGUGAAUCAUCGAAUCUUUGAACGCACAUUGCGCCCACCAGUAUUCUGGCGGGCAUGCCUGUUCGAGCGUCAUUUCAACCAUCAAGCCCCCGGCGUGUGUUGGGGACCUGCGGCUGCCGCAGGCCCUGAAAAGCAGUGGCGGGCUCGCUGUCACACCGAGCGUAGUAGCAUACAUCUCGCUCUGGGCGUGCUGCGGGUUCCGGCCGUUAAACCACCUUCAUAACCCAAGGUUGACCUCGGAUCAGGUAGGAAGACCCGCUGAACUUAAGCAUAUCAAUAAGCGGAGGA
This 336-nucleotide unclassified non-coding RNA is filed under the name soil metagenome. RNAcentral describes it as "partial contains 5.8S ribosomal RNA, internal transcribed spacer 2, and large subunit ribosomal RNA". The stretch from base 1 to 120 matches the Rfam family "5.8S ribosomal RNA", at positions 35 to 154 of the family's 154-position model. The record is from RNAcentral.